GCGAGGUGGUGGCGCGGGUGCGCACCGUGCUCAGGCGCUGGCGGGCGGUGCCGCCGUCUGCCGGCGGUGCUGCCCUGCCUGCUGCGCU
This 88-nucleotide transfer RNA is filed under the name Sphaerotilus natans. RNAcentral describes it as "tRNA-Ser". The record is from RNAcentral. Lineage: Bacteria; Pseudomonadati; Pseudomonadota; Betaproteobacteria; Burkholderiales; Sphaerotilaceae.